GUGCAAAUUCAGUCACUAGUUCUGCAUGAUGCAGUAGAUACAAAGGCAACCAGAUCUGCAAAAGUAGCUGUAAUAGAAAUGUUUUAGCCUCAGAAGCUUCUGAAGGGGUCCAUUCUAUUCUGUUCUAUUC
Small nucleolar RNA from Sciurus vulgaris (Eurasian red squirrel), 130 nucleotides. The record is from Ensembl. NCBI's taxonomy places the organism in Eukaryota, Metazoa, Chordata, Mammalia, Rodentia, Sciuridae.